RNAcentral lists this ribosomal RNA (253 nucleotides) under uncultured bacterium. RNAcentral describes it as "partial 16S ribosomal RNA". It matches the Rfam family "Bacterial small subunit ribosomal RNA", at positions 524 to 776 of the family's 1533-position model. The record is from RNAcentral.
UACAGAGGGUGCAAGCGUUGUUCGGAAUUAUUGGGCGUAAAGCGCGUGUAGGCGGCUUGUUAAGUCGGGUGUGAAAGCCCUCAGCUCAACUGAGGAAGUGCACCCGAAACUGGCGAGCUUGAGUGUCGGAGAGGAUGGCGGAAUACCCCAAGUAGAGGUGAAAUUCGUAGAUAUGGGGUGGAACACCGGUGGCGAAGGCGGCCAUCUGGACGACAACUGACGCUGAGACGCGAAAGCGUGGGGAGCAAACAGG